AUUGAAAAGAUUGUUGACAAAAGGAAAAAUUAAAAAGGGAAGACAGAGUAUUUGGUUCAGUGAAAAGGCUACAACAGCGAGGACGACACUUGGGAACCAGAGCAGCACCUCGUGAACUGUCAGGAAUACAUCCACGACUUCAACAGACACCACACGGAAAGGCAGAAAGAGAGCACAUUGACCAGAACAAACAGGUCCUCUCCCAACAAUGCUAGGAAACAAAUCUCCAGAUCCACAAACAGCAGCUUUUCUAAGUCCUCUCCUAAGGCACCAGUGAUUGGGAGAGAUCACGAAUCCAAAAACAGCCAGCUGUUUGCUGCCAGCCAGCAGUUCAGGAAGAACACAGCUCCGUCUCUCUGCAGCCAGAUGAAAAUGGACCUAGUGAAGUCAGGUAUCAAGAUCCUCAUGCCUAAGAGCCCCAUUAAGCAGGACGCAGUGAAUGGCUUUCAGAGUGAGAGCUCCAAAAAACUGGACCCCACAGAGCAGGGUCAGGAGGAAUGGUAGUACCCAAAGUGGCAGCGGAAAAGCCAGACAAAGCUUUAUUGGGCCCUGGUACUGAGCAGGCCAGGAUGGGGAGCAAGCCUGGAUACACCUGCUAGUGCCUCAGGUGCAUGGCCCCGUAAGUGCAGCCAUGGCCACAGGCCUACUCGUUAACAGGAAAGCUACAUCUACAUUCAUGGAUGCAUUAACAGCCAGUGGGACAACCAACAUACAGACAUCUGUUACAGCAGUAACUGUCAGCAAAAGGAAAUUUAUUGACAACAGAAGAGAACAGCCUUUUAACAAACGAUUGCAUUUCAGUGUGAGGCAAACAGAAAGUGCCUAAGGAUACAGAGUUAUUGUGGCCGGGACAAAAGAUGGCUUCACCCACAUCUUAUUCACUAGAUCAACAGGGAAUAACUCAGUAAAUACAGCUGUAAUGAAAAAAGUCUACCAGCUCUGACAACCACUGCUGAUUACAGCAAGCUUGUACUGCUCAGCGCCUUUAACAGUGUCUUCUGUUGUGGACUUGACUUUAUUUAUUUUAUGCAGUGUUUGACAGAUGACAGAAAAAGAGAAAGCAUUAAAAUGGGAGAACCUAUCAGAAACGUCGUGAAUAAUCUAUGGCCAUAUCACUCUGAAAGUGACAGAAAAAAAGAAAGUGUUAAAUAGGCAGAAGCUAACAGAAACUUCGUGAAUAAUCCCUGGCCAUACCACCCGAAAUAGGCACGAUUUCUUCGGAUAUCAGAAGCUAAGCAGUAUCUGCCCUGUAUAGUGCAUGGACACAAGGAACUUUGUGAAUACUAUUACUCCGUUCAAAAAACCUGUUACUGAAGUAAAAGAAGUUAUCUGAAACAUCAUGAAUAAUCUAUGACCAUACGACCCUGAAUAUGAUACAAAAAGAGAAAGCAUUAAAAUGGCAGAAGAGAAGCUACCAGAAACGUCGUACAUAAUCUACGGCCAUAGCACAGUGAACGCUCCAAUCUCAUCUGGUCACUGAAGUACAGAGUACACGAGAUUGCGCCCAGGGUACGGCCUCUUCAGUACUUGGAUGGGAGGAACUUCGUGAAGGCUAUCAUUUCACUCAAACUGAAUAUUAUUGAAGCAGUCACUAUCCCAGCCAUUCGACUAGAAGCAUCCGUAUUGCCCCUUUAUGAUAUGGUUUAGGCUAAUCAAAAGACUUGGUUUCCAACAACCUCUUCUACCUCUGAGCAGAUUCCAGACAGCUGAUUUACCAUUACGUUUCCGAAAUCAUGGGACGACCAGCUGCAAGCGAGACGAUGCUCAGUGGGUUGAAACUGAUCACACAGAAGGCAUUUGGCAACGGCCUUCUCUCCCAGCUGUUUGGGUCCUGGACCUUCACUCAGGAAAUUGGUGGCUCAGAUCAAGAAGCUUGUCUCAUGUAAUCGAAUAGUGCUGGAGGAAUCCAAAGCCUUGGUGUGCUGCAACAUGAAGAGGGAUCUGGAACAGGCCAACGAGAGAACAUGUGAAGUACUGAAGAAAAUCUGGGGUUCUGCCCAAGGGUUGGACUCCAUGUGAAAGGACUUAGAAAGGAAGAUGAAUGAGUUUCGAGUGUCAGGCUGCACACGGACCACAUCGGGUUCCAGCUGAGAAGAACACCAUUGCUUCCAUCUGUCCUUAUCCAUUCUCACAGCCUGAAACAAGCUCACUGGUAGCUUAUGCUUGCAAGCAGGACUGGGAACAUUCACGCUAUUUAUUCGGGAGUACUGACUCCAGAAAGUACAGCAACCUUGGACUGCUCAGCGCCAUUGGUAGGGUCUUCCGUGGUGCACUUGGCCUUAUUUAUUUUUUACGACAUUUGACAGAGGACAGAGAGAGAGCAAGCAUUAAAACGGCAGAAGCUACUGGAAACGUCGUGAGCAAUCUACAGUCAUACCACCGUGAACGCUCCCAAUCUUGUCUGGUCUCUGAAGUACAGAGUAGAUGCGAUUGGGCCCAGGUUGGGGCCUGUUUCAUUGUUGGAUAGAAGGAACUUCCUGAAUGCUUUGUUCCGCUUAAGCUGCGUAUUGUUGAAGCACUCAAUGGCCCAGCCAUUCGACUAGGAGCAUCCGUAUUGCCUCUUUGUGAUAUGGUUUAGGCUAAUGAAAAGACUUGGUUUCCAACACCCUCUUCUACCUCUGGGCAGAUUCCAGAUAGCUGAUCUACCAUUACGUUUCCGAAAUCAUGGGACGACCAGCUGCAAGCGAGACGAUGCUCACUGGGUUGAAACUGAUCACACAGGAGGCAUUUGGCAACAGCCUUCUCUCCCAGCUGUUUGGAUCCUGGACCUUCAAUCAGGAAAUUGGUGGCUCAGAUCAAGAAGCUUGUCUCAUGUAAUCGAAUAGUGCUGGAGGAAUCCAAAGCCUUGGUGUGCUGCAACAUGAAGAGGGAUCUGGAACAGGCCAACGAGAGAACAUGUGAAGUACUGAAGAAAAUCUGGGGUUCUGCCCAAGGGUUGGACUCCAUGUGAAAGGACUUAGAAAGGAAGAUGAAUGAGUUUCGAGUGUCAGGCUGCACACUGACCACAUCGGGAUCCAGCUGAGAAGAACACCAUUGCUUCCGGCUGUCCUUCUUCAUUCUCACAGCCUGAAACAAGCUCACUGGUAGCUUAUGCUUGCAAGCAGGACCGGGAACAUUCACGCUAUUUAUUCGGGAGUACUCUGGAUAAAUCAUCCCAUUAUUUUGGAAAUGUAAUGCUAGGUCAGGUAUCUGGAAUCUUCCUGGAGGUAGAAGAGGGUAUUGGAUGGAAGGAACUUCGUGAAUGCGAUCAUUGAACUCCAGAAAGUACACCAACCUUGUACUGCUCAGGGCCUUAGGUAGGGUCUUCUGUGGCGCACUUGACCUUAUUUAUGUUUUACAACGUUUGACAGAGGACAGAAAGAGAGCAAGCAUUAAAAGGGCAAAAGCUACCAGAAACAUCGUGAACAAUCUACAGCCAUACCACCGUGAACGCUCCCAAUCUCGUCUGGCCUCUGAAGUACAGAGUAGAGGAGAUUGGGCCCAGGUAGGGGCCUGUUUCAUAGUUGGAUGGAAGGAACUUUGUGAAUGCUAUCAUUUAACUUAAGCUGUCUAUUACUAAACAAGUCAGCCGCCCAGCCAUUCGACUAGGAGCAUCCGUAUUGCCUCUUUGUGAUAUGGUUUAGGCUAAUGAAAAGACUUGGUUUCCAACACCCUCUUCUACCUCUGAGCAGAUCCCACAUAGCUGAUCUACCAUUACGUUUCCGAAAUCAUGGGACGACCAGCUGCAAGCGAGACGAUGCUCACUGGGUUGAAACUGAUCACUCAGGAGGCAGUUGGCAACGGCCUUCUCUCCCAGCUGUUUGAGUCCUGGACCUUCACUUAGGAAAUUGGUGGCUCAGAUCAAGAAGCUUGUCUCAUGUAAUCGAAUAGUGCUGGAGGAAUCCAAAGCCUUGGUGUGCUGCAACAUGAAGAGGCAUCUGGAACAGGCCAACGAGAGAACAUGUGAAGUACUGAAGAAAAUCUGGGGUUGUGCCCAAGGGUUGGACUCCAUGUGAAAGGACUUAGAAAGGAAGAUGAAUGAGUUUCCAUUGUCAGGCUGCACACUGACCACAUCGGGUUCCGGCUGAGAAGAACACCAUUGCUUCCAUCUGUCCUUAUCCAUUCUCACAGCCUGAAACAAGCUCACUGGUAGCUUAUGCUUGCCAGCAGGACUGGGAACAUUCACGCUAUUUAUUCGGGAGUACUGACUCCAGAAAGUACAGCAACCUUGGACUGCUCAGCGCCAUUGGUACGGUCUUCCGUGGUGCACUUGGCCUUAUUUAUUUUUUACGACAUUUGACAGAGUGCAGAGAGAGAGCAAGCAUAAAAACGGCAGAAGCUACUGGAAACGUCCUGAACAAUCUACAGUCAUACCACCGUGAACGCUCCCAAUAUUGUUUGGUCUCUGAAGUACAGAGUAGAUGCGAUUGGGCCCAGGUUGGGGCCUGUUUCAUUGUUGGAUAGAAGGAACUUCCUGAAUGCUUUGUUCCGCUUAAGCUGCGUAUUGUUGAAGCACUCAAUGGCCCAGCCAUUCGACCAGGAGCAUCCGUAUUGCCUCUUUGUGUUAUGGUUUAGGCUAAUGAAAAGACUUGGUUUCCAACACCCUCUUCUACCUCUGGGCAGAUUCCAGAUAGCUGAUCUACCAUUACGUUUCCGAAAUCAUGGGACGACCAGCUGCAAGUGAGACGAUGCUCAGUGGGUUGAAACUGAUCACACAGGAGGCAUUUGGCAACGGCCUUCUCUCCCAGCUGUUUGGAUCCUGGACCUUCACUCAGGAAAUUGGUGGCUCAGAUCAAGAAGCUUGUCUCAUGUAAUCGAAUAGUGCUGGAGGAAUCCAAAGCCUUGGUGUGCUGCAACAUGAAGAGGGAUCUGGAACAGGCCAACGAGAGAACAUGUGAAGUACUGAAGAAAAUCUGGGGUUCUGCCCGAGGGUUGGACUCCAUGUGAAAGGACUUAGAAAGGAAGAUGAACGAGUUUCGAGUGUCAGGCUGCACAAUGACCACAUGGGGUUCCGGCUGAGAAGAACACCAUUGCUUCCACCUGUCCUUAUCCAUUCUCACAGCCUGAGACAAGCUCACUGGUAGCUUAUGCUUGCAAGCAGGACUAGGAACAUUCACGCUAUUUAUUCGGGAGUACUGACUCCAGAAAAUACAGGAAGCUUGGACUGCUCGGCGCCAUUGGUAGGGUCUUCCGUGGUGCACUUGGGUUAUUUAUUUUUUACGACAUUUGACAGAGGACAGAGAGAGAGCAAGCAUUCAAACGGCAGAAGCUACUGGAAACGUCGUGAACAAUCUAUAGUCAUACCACCGUGAACGCUCCCAAUCUUGUCUGGUCUCUGAAGUACAGAGUAGAUGCGAUUGGGCCCAGGUUCGGGCCUGUUUCAUUGUUGGAUAGAAGGAACUUCCUGAAUGCUAUUGUUCAGCUUAAGCUGCGUAUUGUUGAAGCACUCAAUGGCCCAGCCAUUCGAAUAGGAGCAUCCGUAUUGCCUCUUUGUGAUAUGGUUUAGGCUAAUGAAAAUACUUGGUUUCCAACACCCUCUUCUACCUCUGGGCAGAUUCCAGAUAGCUGAUCUACCAUUACGUUUCCGAAAUCAUGGGACGACCAGCUGCAAGUGAGACGAUGCUCAGUGGGUUGAAACUGAUCACACAGGGGGCAUUUGGCAACGGCCUUCUCUCCCAGCUGUUUGGAACCUGGACCUUCACUCAGGAAAUUGGUGGCUCAGAUCAAGAAGCUUGUCUCAUGUAAUCGAAUAUUGCUGGAGGAAUCCAAAGCCUUGGUGUGCUGCAACAUGAAGAGGGAUCUGGAACAGGCCAACGAGAGAACAUGUGAAGUACUGAAGAAAAUCUGGGGUUCUGCCCGAGGGUUGGACUCCAUGUGAAAGGACUUAGAAAGGAAGAUGAACGAGUUUCGAGUGUCAGGCUGCACACUGACCACAUGGGGUUCCGGCUGAGAAGAACACCAUUGCUUCCAACUGUCCUUAUCCAUUCUCACAGCCUGAGACAAGCUCACUGGUAGCUUAUGCUUCCAAGCAGGACUAGGAACAUUCACGCUAUUUAUUCGGGAGUACUGACUCCAGAAAGUACAGGAAGGUUGGACUACUCGGCGCCAUUGGUAGGGUCUUCCGUGGUGCACUUGGCCUUAUUUAUUUUUUACGACAUUUGACAGAGGGCAGAGAGAGAGCAAGCAUUAAAACGGCAGAAGCUACUGGAAACGUCGUGAGCAAUCAACAGUCAUACCACCGUGAACGCUCCCAAUCUUGUCUGGUCUCUGAAGUACAGAGUAGAUGCGAUUGGGCCCAGGUUCGGGCCUGUUUCAUUGUUGGAUAGAAGGAACUUCCUGAAUGCUUUGUUCAGCUUAAGCUGCGUAUUGUUGAAGCACUCAAUGGCCCAGCCAUUCGACUAGGAGCAUCCGUAUUGCCUCUUUGUGAUAUGGUUUAGGCUAAUGAAAAGACUUGGUUUCCAACACCCUCUUCUACCUCUGAGCAGAUCCCACAUAGCUGAUCUACCAUUACGUUUCCGAAAUCAUGGGACGACCAGCUGCAAGCGAGAUGAUGCUCAGUGGGUUGAAACUGAUCACACAGGAGGCAUUUGGCAACGGCCUUCUCUCCCAGCUGUUUGGAUCCUGGACCUUCACUCAGGAAAUUGGUGGCUCAGAUCAAGAAGCUUGUCUCAUGUAAUCGAAUAGUGCUGGAGGAAUCCAAAGCCUUCGUGUGCUGCAACAUGAAGAGGGAUCUGGAACAGGCCAACGAGAGAACAUGUGAAGUACUGAAGAAAAUCUGGGGUUCUGCCCAAGGGUUGGACUCCAUGUGAAAGGACUUAGAAAGGAAGAUGAACGAGUUUCGAGUGUCAGGCUGCACACUGACCACAUGGGGUUCCGGCUGAGAAGAACACCAUUGCUUCCACCUGUCCUUAUCCAUUCUCACAGCCUGAGACAAGCUCACUGGUAGCUUAUGCUUCCAAGCAGGACUAGGAACAUUCACGCUAUUUAUUCGGGAGUACUGACUCCAGAAAGUACAGGAAGCUUGGACUGCUCGGCGCCAUUGGUAGGGUCUUCCGUGGUGUACUUGGCCUUAUUUAUUUUUUACGACAUUUGACAGAGGGCAGAGAGAGAGCAAGCAUUAAAACGGCAGAAGCUACUGGAAACGUCGUGAGCAAUCUACAGUCAUACCACCGUGAACGCUCCCAAUCUUGUCUGGUCUCUGAAGUACAGAGUAGAUGCGAUUGGGCCCAGGUUCGGGCCUGUUUCAUUGUUGGAUAGAAGGAACUUUCUGAAUGCUUUGUUCCGCUUAAGCUGUGUAUUGUUGAAGCACUCAAUGGCCCAGCCAUUCGACUAGGAGCAUCCGUAUUGCCUCUUUGUGAUAUGGUUUAGGCUAAUGAAAAGACUUGGUUUCCAACACCCUCUUCUACCUCUGGGCAGAUUCCAGAUAGCUGAUCUACCAUUACGUUUCCGAAAUCAUGGGACGACCAGCUGCAAGCGAGACGAUGCUCAGUGGGUUGAAACUGAUCACACAGGAGGCAUUUGGCAACGGCUUUCUCUCCCAGCUGUUUGGAUCCUGGACCUUCACUCAGGAAAUUGGUGGCUCAGAUCAAGAAGCUUGUCUCAUGUAAUCGAAUAGUGCUGGAGGAAUCCAAAGCCUUGGUGUGCUGCAACAUGAAGAGGGAUCUGGAACAGGCCAACGAGAGAACAUGUGAAGUACUGAAGAAAAUCUGGGGUUCUGCCCAAGGGUUGGACUCCAUGUGAAAGGAUUUAGAAAGGAAGAUGAACGAGUUUCGAGUGUCAGGCUGCACAGUGACCACAUCGGGUUCCAGCUGAGAAGAACACCAUUCCUUCCGGGUGUCCUUAUCCAUUCUCACAGCCUGAAACAAGCUCACUGGUAGCUUAUGCUUGUAAGCAGGACCGGGAACAUUCACGCUAUUUAUUCGGGAGUACUCUGGAUAAAUCGUUCCAUUAUUUCGGAAAUGUAAUGCUAGGUCAGGUAUCUGGAAUCUUCCUGGAGGUAGAAGAGCGUAUUGGAUGGAAGGAACUUCGUGAAUGCGAUCAUUGAACUCCAGAAAGUACACCAAGCUUGUACUGCUCGGGGCCUUAGGUAGGGUCUUCUGUGGCGCACUUGACCUUAUUUAUGUUUUACAACGUUUGACAGAGGACAGAAAGAGAGCAAGCAUUAAAAGGGCAAAAGCUACCAGAAACAUCGUGAACAAUCUACAGCCAUACCACCGUGAACGCUCCCAAUCUCGUCUGGCCUCUGAAGUACAGAGUAGAGGAGAUUGGGCCCAGGUAGGGGCCUGUUUCAUAGUUGGAUGGAAGGAACUUUGUGAAUGCUAUCAUUUAACUUAAGCUGUCUAUUACUAAACCAGUCAGCCGCCCAGCCAUUCGACUAGGAGCAUCCGUAUUGCCUCUUUGUGAUAUGGUUUAGGCUAAUGAAAAGACUUGGUUUCCAACACCCUCUUCUACCUCUGGGCAGAUUCCAGAUAGCUGAUCUACCAUUACGUUUCCGAAAUCAUGGGACGACCAGCUGCAAGUGAGACGAUGCUCAGUGGGUUGAAACUGAUCACUCAGGAGGCAUUUGGCAACGGCCUUCUCUCCCAGCUGUUUGGAUCCUGGACCUUCACUCAGGAAAUUGGUGGCUCAGAUCAAGAAGCUUGUCUCAUGUAAUCGAAUAGUGCUGGAGGAAUCCAAAGCCUUGGUGUGCUGCAACAUGAAGACGGAUCUGGAACAGGCCAACGAGAGAACAUGUGAAGUACUGAAGAAAAUCUGGGGUUCUGCCCAAGGGUUGGACUCCAUGUGAAAGGACUUAGAAAGGAAGAUGAACGAGUUUCGAGUGUCAGGCUGCACACUGACCACAUCGGGUUCCGGCUGAGAAGAACACCAUUGCUUCCAUCUGUCCUUAUCCAUUCUCACAGCCUGAGACAAGCUCACUGGUAGCUUAUGCUUGCAAGCAGGACUGGGAACAUUCACGCUAUUUAUUCGGGAGUACUGACUCCAGAAAGUACAGCAACCUUGGACUGCUCAGCGCCAUUGGUACGGUCUUCCGUGGUGCACUUGGCCUUAUUUAUUUUUUACGACAUUUGACAGAGGACAGAGAGAGAGCAAGCAUUAAAACGGCAGAAGCUACUGGAAACGUCGUGAACAAUCUACAGUCAUACCACCGUGAACGCUCCCAAUCUUGUCUGGUCUCUGAAGUACAGAGUAGAUGCGAUUGGGUCCAGGUUCGGGCCUGUUUCAUUGUUGGAUAGAAGGAACUUCCUGAAUGCUAUUGUUCAGCUUAAGCUGCGUAUUGUUGAAGCACUCAAUGGCCCAGCCAUUCGACUAGGAGCAUCCGUAUUGCCUCUUUGUGAUAUGGUUUAGGCUAAUGAAAAGACUUGGUUUCCAACACCCUCUUCUACCUCUGGGCAGAUUCCAGAUAGCUGAUCUACCAUUACGUUUCCGAAAUCAUGGGACGACCAGCUGCAAGUGAGACGAUGCUCAGUGGGUUGAAACUGAUCACUCAGGAGGCAUUUGGCAACGGCCUUCUCUCCCAGCUGUUUGGAUCCUGGACCUUCACUCAGGAAAUUGGUGGCUCAGAUCAAGAAGCUUGUCUCAUGUAAUCGAAUAUUGCUGGAGGAAUCCAAAGCCUUGGUGUGCUGCAACAUGAAGAGGGAUCUGGAACAGGCCAACGAGAGAACAUGUGAAGUACUGAAGAAAAUCUGGGGUUCUGCCCGAGGGUUGGACUCCAUGUGAAAGGACUUAGAAAGGAAGAUGAACGAGUUUCGAGUGUCAGGCUGCACACUGACCACACGGGGUUCCGGCUGAGAAGAACACCAUUGCUUCCACCUGUCCUUAUCCAUUCUCACAGCCUGAGACAAGCUCACUGGUAGCUUAUGCUUCCAAGCAGGACUAGGAACAUUCACGCUAUUUAUUCGGGAGUACUCUGGAUAAAUCGUCCCAUUAUUUCGGAAAUGUAAUGCUAGGUCAGGUAUCUGGAAUCUUCCUGGAGGUAGAAGAGGGUAUUGGAUGGAAGGAACUUCAUGAAUGCGAUCAUUGAACUCCAGAAAGUACACCAACCUUGUACUGCUCAGGGCCUUAGGUAGGGUCUUCUGUGGUGCACUUGACCUUAUUUAUGUUUUACAACGUUUGUCAGAGGACAGAAAGAGAACAAGCAUUAAAAGGGCAAAAGCUACCAGAAACAUCGUGAACAACCUACACCCAUACCACUGUGAACGCUCCCAAUCUCGUCUGGCCUCUGAUGUACAGAGUAGAGGAGAUUGGGCCCAGGUAGGGGCCUGUUUCAUAGUUGGAUGGAAGGAACUUUGUGAAUGCUAUCAUUUAACUUAAGCUGUCUAUUACUAAAGCAGUCAACAGCCCAGCCGUUCGACUAGGAGCACCCAUAUUGCCUCUUUGUGAUAUGGUUUUGGCUAAUGAAAAGACUUGGUUUCCAACACCCUCUUCUACCUCUGGGCAGAUUCCAGAUAGCUGAUCUACCAUUACGUUUCCGAAAUCAUGGGACGACCAGCUGCAAGCGAGACGAUGCUCAGUGGGUUGAAACUGAUCACACAGGAGGCAUUUGGCAACGGCCUUCUCUCCCAGCUGUUUGGAUCCUGGACCUUCAAUCAGGAAAUUGGUGGCUCAGAUCAAGAAGCUUGUCUCAUGUAAUCGAAUAGUGCUGGAGGAAUCCAAAGCCUUGGUGUGCUGCAACAUGAAGAGGGAUCUGGAACAGGCCAACGAGAGAACAUGUGAAGUACUGAAGAAAAUCUGGGGUUCUGCCCAAGGGUUGGACUCCAUGUGAAAGGACUUAGAAAGGAAGAUGAAUGAGUUUCGAGUGUCAGGCUGCACACUGACCACAUCGGGUUCCAGCUGAGAAGAACACCAUUGCUUCCGGCUGUCCUUAUCCAUUCUCACAGCCUGAAACAAGCUCACUGGUAGCUUAUGCUUGCAAGCAGGACCGAGAACAUUCACGCUAUUUAUUCGGGAGUACUCUGGAUAAAUCGUCCCAUUAUUUCGGAAAUGUAAUGCUAGGUCAGGUAUCUGGAAUGUUCCUGGAGGUAGAAGAGGGUAUUGGAUGGAAGGAACUUCGUGAAUGCGAUCAUUGAACUCCAGAAAGUACAACAACCUUGUACUGCUCAGGGCCUUAGGUAGGGUCUUCUGUGGCGCACUUGACCUUAUUUAUGUUUUACAACGUUUGACAGAGGACAGAAAGAGAGCAAGCAUUAAAAGGGCAAAAGCUACCAGAAACAUCGUGAACAAUCUACAGCCAUACCACCGUGAACGCUCCCAAUCUCGUCUGGCCUCUGAAGUACAGAGUAGAGGAGAUUGGGCCCAGGUAGGGGCCUGUUUCAUAGUUGAAUGGAAGGAACUUUGUGAAUGCUAUCAUUUAACUUAAGCUGUCUAUUACUAAACCAGUCAGCUGCCCAGCCAUUCGACUAGGAGCAUCCGUAUUGCCUCUUUGUGAUAUGGUUUAGGCUAAUGAAAAGACUUGGUUUCCAACACCCUCUUCUACCUCUGAGCAGAUCCCAGAUAGCUGAUCUACCAUUACGUUUCCGAAAUCAUGGGACGACCAGCUGCAAGCGAGACGAUGCUCAGUGGGUUGAAACUGAUCACUCAGGAGGCAUUUGGCAACGGCCUUCUCUCCCAGCUGUUUGAGUCCUGGACCUUCACUCAGGAAAUUGGUGGCUCAGAUCAAGAAGCUUGUCUCAUGUAAUCGAAUAGUGCUGAAGGAAUCCAAAGCCUUGGUGUGCUGCAACAUGAAGAGGGAUCUGGAACAGGCCAACGAGAGAACAUGUGAAGUACUGCAGAAAAUCUGGGGCUCUGCUCAAGGGUUGGACUCCAUGUGAAAGUACUUACACAGGAAGAUGAAUGAGUUU
Molecule: long non-coding RNA, 11816 nt
Filed under: Homo sapiens (human)
Lineage: Eukaryota; Metazoa; Chordata; Mammalia; Primates; Hominidae
Description: non-protein coding lnc-TBL1X-2:1
Source: RNAcentral